Molecule: long non-coding RNA, 740 nt
Organism: Macadamia integrifolia
Lineage: Eukaryota; Viridiplantae; Streptophyta; Magnoliopsida; Proteales; Proteaceae
Exons: 3
Source: RefSeq, a predicted model, not a curated record
AUUCUGUUCCCCGAUAAAACAGACCCCUUUCACUCUCUUCCGUGUUUAACCUUCACGAUAGUACCUGAAGGAGCUCUGUUAGAUUCGCCCGCGAAGAAGGAACCCUAUGGCAAAACAGGGCUUCCUCACCCUCGUGAAUAGUAUGGAUCUUUCCCCUUCUUCAUCCUCGUGAACCCAUAUGGAAGAUUCACCAUUGUUGCAGAGAUUCAUCUAGAUUCGUCGAUGAGUCACCUCUAGAGAUAAAGGGUGGGUUUUCACCUCAGAUCUGAAGAGUAUACAAAUUCUAGUCUCUCUUUGAAGGUUCGGCUGCUCCUCUCACAACUGCCUCUCACAUCUGCUUGGUAAGAACUGAGGUCCCCCCAAUUUUUCUUUAAACCCUAGAACAAUUCGUCCCUCAUCAGUGAACGACGACUUGACUCCAAUGUUUCUCAAGCUUCAAUUCCAUAGGAACUACACAUUCUGUCGUUCAGUUGAAAGGGGGGAAUCAAACGUUGCCUUCUAGGUGAUAGCUUGAGGAAAAUAACAAAAGGUCUUCUGAGGACCCUACUUCUCUUCUUAGCUGUCUAAGUUCAAAGAAUUUCCUGAUCAUGGUCAUAGCAGAAGUUUAUGAUUUCAUCCCUCUCUGUCCUAUUCACAUCCCAUUCCUUUUAGCUGAAAUCUAUGCCUUUCUUCAAAAACAGUAAGUGCAAAUUAAACCACCUACUGAGUGUCAUUUUUAAGAAAUAUGUCUUUUAGUUGCA